GAUGAACGCUGGCGGCGUGCCUAAUACAUGCAAGUCGAGCGAACAGACGAGGAGCUUGCUCCUCUGACGUUAGCGGCGGACGGGUGAGUAACACGUGGAUAACCUACCUAUAAGACUGGGAUAACUUCGGGAAACCGGAGCUAAUACCGGAUAAUAUAUUGAACCGCAUGGUUCAAUAGUGAAAGACGGUUUUGCUGUCACUUAUAGAUGGAUCCGCGCCGCAUUAGCUAGUUGGUAAGGUAACGGCUUACCAAGGCGACGAUGCGUAGCCGACCUGAGAGCGUGAUCGGCCACACUGGAACUGAGACACGGUCCAGACUCCUACGGGAGGCAGCAGUAGGGAAUCUUCCGCAAUGGGCGAAAGCCUGACGGAGCAACGCCGCGUGAAUGAUGAAGGUCUUCGGAUCGUAAAACUCUGUUAUUAGGGAAGAACAAAUGUGUAAGUAACUAUGCACGUCUUGACGGUACCUAAUCAGAAAGCCACGGCUAACUACGUG
This 497-nucleotide ribosomal RNA is filed under the name uncultured bacterium. Its description in RNAcentral is "partial 16S ribosomal RNA". It matches the Rfam family "Bacterial small subunit ribosomal RNA", at positions 28 to 507 of the family's 1533-position model. The record is from RNAcentral.